AUACGUAGGUGGCAAGCGUUGUCCGGAAUUAUUGGGCGUAAAGCGCGCGCAGGCGGUCCUUUAAGUCUGAUGUGAAAGCCCACGGCUCAACCGUGGAGGGUCAUUGGAAACUGGGGGACUUGAGUGCAGAAGAGGAAAGUGGAAUUCCAAGGGUAGCGGUGAAAUGCGUAGAGAUUUGGAGGAACACCAGUGGCGAAGGCGACUUUCUGGUCUUAAACUGACGCUGAGGCGCGGAAGCGUGGGGAGCAAACAGGAUAAGAUACCCUGUUAGUCCACGCCGUAAACGAUGAGUGCUAAGUGUUAGGGGGUUUCCGCCCCUUAGUGCUGCAGCUAACGCAUUAAGCACUCCGCCUGGGGAGUACGGUCGCAAGACUGAAACUCAAAGGAAUUGACGGGG
Molecule: ribosomal RNA, 397 nt
Filed under: uncultured bacterium
Lineage: Bacteria
Description: partial 16S ribosomal RNA
Rfam family: Bacterial small subunit ribosomal RNA
Source: RNAcentral